Molecule: ribosomal RNA, 459 nt
Filed under: uncultured bacterium
Lineage: Bacteria
Description: partial 16S ribosomal RNA
Rfam family: Bacterial small subunit ribosomal RNA
Source: RNAcentral
CCUACGGGGGGCAGCAGUGAGGAAUAUUGGUCAAUGGCCGCAGGGCUGAACCAGCCAAGUCGCGUGAGGGAUGACGGUCCUAUGGAUUGUAAACCUCUUUUGUCAGGGAGCAAAGGGCGCCACGUGUGGCGCUUUGCGAGUACCUGAAGAAAAAGCAUCGGCUAACUCCGUGCCAGCAGCCGCGGUAAUACGGAGGAUGCGAGCGUUAUCCGGAUUUAUUGGGGUUAAAGGGUGCGCAGGCGGAAUGUCAAGUCAGCGGUAAAAUUUCGGGGCUCAACCCCGUCGUGCCGUUGAAACUGGCGUUCUUGAGUGAGCGAGAAGUAUGCGGGAUGCGUGGUGGAGCGGUGAAAUGCAUAGAGAUGACGCAGAACUCCGAUUGCGAAGGCAGCAUACCGGCGCUCAACUGACGCUCAUGCACGAAAGCGUGGGUAUCGAACAGGAUUAGAUACCCCUGUAGUC